This 404-nucleotide ribosomal RNA is filed under the name Actinomycetes bacterium. RNAcentral describes it as "Actinobacteria bacterium partial 16S ribosomal RNA". It matches the Rfam family "Bacterial small subunit ribosomal RNA", at positions 355 to 776 of the family's 1533-position model. The record is from RNAcentral. Lineage: Bacteria; Bacillati; Actinomycetota; Actinomycetes.
UGGGGAAUAUUGGACAAUGGGCGCAAGCCUGAUCCAGCCAUGCCGCGUGAGUGAUGAAGGCCCUAGGGUUGUAAAGCUCUUUCACCGGUGAAGGUAAUGACGGUAACCGGAGAAGAAGCCCCGGCUAACUUCGUGCCAGCAGCCGCGGUAAUACGAAGGGGGCUAGCGUUGUUCGGAUUUACUGGGCGUAAAGCGCACGUAGGCGGACUAUUAAGUCAGGGGUGAAAUCCCGGGGCUCAACCCCGGAACUGCCUUUGAUACUGGUAGUCUUGAGUUCGAGAGAGGUGAGUGGAAUUCCGAGUGUAGAGGUGAAAUUCGUAGAUAUUCGGAGGAACACCAGUGGCGAAGGCGGCUCACUGGCUCGAUACUGACGCUGAGGUGCGAAAGCGUGGGGAGCAAACAGG